GACGAACGCUGGCGGCGUGCCUAAUACAUGCAAGUCGAGCGAACCAAUAAGAAGCUUGCUUUUUGUUGGUUAGCGGCGGACGGGUGAGUAACACGUGGGUAACCUGCCUGUAAGACCGGGAUAACUCCGGGAAACCGGUGCUAAUACCGGAUAGAUUAUCUUUCCGCAUGGAGAGAUAAGGAAAGAUGGCUAUUGCCAUCACUUACAGAUGGGCCCGCGGCGCAUUAGCUAGUUGGUGAGGUAACGGCUCACCAAGGCGACGAUGCGUAGCCGACCUGAGAGGGUGAUCGGCCACACUGGGACUGAGACACGGCCCAGACUCCUACGGGAGGCAGCAGUAGGGAAUCUUCCGCAAUGGACGAAAGUCUGACGGAGCAACGCCGCGUGAGCGAAGAAGGUCUUCGGAUCGUAAAGCUCUGUUGUUAGGGAAGAACAAGUAUCGUAGGAAAUGCCGGUACCUUGACGGUACCUGACGAGAAAGCCACGGCUAACUACGUG
RNAcentral lists this ribosomal RNA (498 nucleotides) under uncultured bacterium. RNAcentral's name for it is "partial 16S ribosomal RNA". It matches the Rfam family "Bacterial small subunit ribosomal RNA", at positions 28 to 507 of the family's 1533-position model. The record is from RNAcentral.